RNAcentral lists this RNase P RNA (384 nucleotides) under Candidatus Babeliales bacterium. RNAcentral describes it as "RNase P RNA component class A". It matches the Rfam family "Bacterial RNase P class A". From Rfam's summary of the family: Ribonuclease P (RNase P) is a ubiquitous endoribonuclease, found in archaea, bacteria and eukarya as well as chloroplasts and mitochondria. Its best characterised activity is the generation of mature 5'-ends of tRNAs by cleaving the 5'-leader elements of precursor-tRNAs. Lineage: Bacteria; Candidatus Babeliae; Candidatus Babeliales. The record is from RNAcentral.
UUGGCAGACAAGGCAAUCGCGCAGGGACCAAACCCUUCGAGGAAAGUCCGGACUCCUAUUAAGCAUGAUGCCUGCGGAGAGUCGACUGGAUCAAACUAUCAACUCAACUCAGGGCAAUUUUAAAUUUAAAAUUGACGGAAUAGUGCCACAGAAAAUGACCGCCAAUCACUUCUCAAAAAGAAAUGACGGGUAAGGGUGAAAAUGUGUGGUAAAAGCACACGGAUAAGUCUAGCAAUGGCCCUAUCGGGCAAACCCCUUCAGGAGCAAGACAAAAUAAGCAAGCGGAGCGCUUAAUCUCUUACUUGCGGGUAUGUCGCACAGAUAAAUGGUUGCCACUGCAAAGAAAUUUGCAGCACAGAAUCCGGCUUAUCGUCUGCCAAUCUU